Long non-coding RNA from Manis javanica (Malayan pangolin), 554 nucleotides. RefSeq lists it as uncharacterized. Lineage: Eukaryota; Metazoa; Chordata; Mammalia; Pholidota; Manidae. The record is from RefSeq and is a predicted model, not a curated record.
GCCAGACCUAGGCAAGAACAUGCGCCUGGGGCUGGAGCUGCAGUCCAGGGGCAUGGCUCCUCUUGGUCUUUAUCCAGGGCAAGUCCUUCCCAAGUACAAAGUAACGUGGACUUGGGUCUGCGAGAAGCCCCAGGCUGCUCCCCAGGACGGCAAAGUUGCUAAGAGACAGAGAAGGGACGCAGGGAAGAAAGGGCUCGCUGUUGCCAACCUCAUGGAUGAAAGCCACCUUCCCGUGCGCGUCUAGAUCGACUAAGUUCCAACCAUUCUAAGGUCUUCCCCUGGUCGUUCUGGAUGACGUCAGCUCCUGGAUUGCUGACUCCUUCUCCACUGCUACCCCUGCCAUGAUCAUCGGAGACUUCAGCAUCCAUGAAGAUCUGUCCAGUUCCUGGCUUCUUAGUUCCAGUGAGCUUUUGCUACAUUCACACAGCCAUUCCCUAGACUCGUCACACCAAGAACCCACUAAGUAGAUUUCCAAAGUCCCACUUUCUGACCACUGCCACCUUCCACAGAGGCAGCUUACUCUGAUGCUCCCUCUCCAUCAAUUCUUCAUUUAA